RNAcentral lists this ribosomal RNA (660 nucleotides) under Planococcus psychrotoleratus. RNAcentral describes it as "bacterial SSU rRNA". It matches the Rfam family "Bacterial small subunit ribosomal RNA", at positions 26 to 670 of the family's 1533-position model. Lineage: Bacteria; Bacillati; Bacillota; Bacilli; Caryophanales; Caryophanaceae. The record is from RNAcentral.
CUGACGAACGCUGGCGGCGUGCCUAAUACAUGCAAGUCGAGCGGAACACUUGGAGCUUGCUCCAAGCGUUUAGCGGCGGACGGGUGAGUAACACGUGGGCAACCUGCCCUGCAGAUCGGGAUAACUCCGGGAAACCGGUGCUAAUACCGAAUAGUUUGCGGCCUCUCCUGAGGCUGCACGGAAAGACGGUUUCGGCUGUCACUGCAGGAUGGGCCCGCGGCGCAUUAGCUAGUUGGUGGGGUAAUGGCCUACCAAGGCGACGAUGCGUAGCCGACCUGAGAGGGUGAUCGGCCACACUGGGACUGAGACACGGCCCAGACUCCUACGGGAGGCAGCAGUAGGGAAUCUUCCGCAAUGGACGAAAGUCUGACGGAGCAACGCCGCGUGAGUGACGAAGGUUUUCGGAUCGUAAAACUCUGUUGUGAGGGAAGAACAAGUGCCAACUAACUACUGGCACCUUGACGGUACCUCACCAGAAAGCCACGGCUAACUACGUGCCAGCAGCCGCGGUAAUACGUAGGUGGCAAGCGUUGUCCGGAAUUAUUGGGCGUAAAGCGCGCGCAGGCGGUCCUUUAAGUCUGAUGUGAAAGCCCACGGCUCAACCGUGGAGGGUCAUUGGAAACUGGAGGACUUGAGUGCAGAAGAGGAAAGUGGAAUUCC